UAUCAAGUCCUGACUGGGUUACUGCCAUUUUGAAUGUGCUUCAUUUACAGAUUUGUUGAAAUCAAUAAGUUCUUUAUCUCAACUUUCUUUUUCCUUCUGAAGCCCUUGUGUUUCCUGUCAAAGACUAUCCAUAACUUCCUUUAACUUUUGCUCUUCUUUCUCUUUUUCCUUUUCAAGGGAAUUGUUUCUUAUUGUUUGAGUUGUGAUCUUCUCAGUCUUGGCAGGUAUACUUUCAAAUGCUUCAGCCUUUUCUACUUCUUUUUGAAGUUGUUUCUCCAGUUUUAUGCCUUUACUAGUAGCAUUCUUUAACUUUUCCCUAACUUGAACAUCUUCCAAAUCAGCUGUGUAUAGUUUUCUUUAUUCUCCUCAAUGAAUUUUGUAAUUUUUUGAGUUUCUUUCUGAUAUCUUGUAGAGCUUUACUCGUUGCUUUCAUUUCAUUUGGCACUAUAUUGUGCCUCUCAUUAUUUUCUUUGGUAUCUUCAUGAAUCUUUUCCUUUUGCAUCUCCAUUACAGUAAUUCGUUUCUGCAAAUCAUAAAUUUAUCUCCUCUGUGUUCAUUUAGUAUUUCAACUCUUCGACACAGGACUUUCAUAGGUUCAUUUAGUCAUCCACAACCAAUUAUAUCUUCUAAAUAUUCAAGCAUACUCUAAUCAUGUUCAGUCUAGCCUUUUGGUUUCAUCACAGCUAUUUGUUCAACUUCACCCUACAAUAUUAAAAACCUGGAGUCUCUGUGGUGGUGGCUGGGCCAUUGGCAUGACCAGAUGGUGGCUCUG
RNAcentral lists this long non-coding RNA (772 nucleotides) under Chinchilla lanigera (long-tailed chinchilla). RNAcentral's name for it is "lncRNA (ENSCLAG00000023968.1)". The record is from RNAcentral. Lineage: Eukaryota; Metazoa; Chordata; Mammalia; Rodentia; Chinchillidae.